GGGACUGUACUCUCAUAGUGUCCCAUGCUAGAGCAAACUGGCUCCUAACCAUUGCCCAGCCUCUGUGCCUGUAGGCUGUUGGCACUGAAUUGGGUUGUACAGUG
Small nucleolar RNA from Alexandromys fortis (reed vole), 104 nucleotides. RefSeq annotates it as small nucleolar RNA SNORA42/SNORA80 family. The record is from RefSeq and is a predicted model, not a curated record. Lineage: Eukaryota; Metazoa; Chordata; Mammalia; Rodentia; Cricetidae. The transcript has a single exon.